This 468-nucleotide ribosomal RNA is filed under the name uncultured bacterium. RNAcentral describes it as "partial 16S ribosomal RNA". It matches the Rfam family "Bacterial small subunit ribosomal RNA", at positions 28 to 507 of the family's 1533-position model. The record is from RNAcentral.
GACGAACGCUGGCGGCGUGCUUAACACAUGCAAGUCGAACGGAAAGGCCCUGCUUUUGUGGGGUGCUCGAGUGGCGAACGGGUGAGUAACACGUGAGUAACCUGCCCUUGACUUUGGGAUAACUUCAGGAAACUGGGGCUAAUACCGGAUAGAAGCUCCUGCUGCAUGGUGGGGGUUGGAAAGUUUCGGCGGUUGGGGAUGGACUCGCGGCUUAUCAGCUUGUUGGUGGGGUAGUGGCUUACCAAGGCUUUGACGGGUAGCCGGCCUGAGAGGGUGACCGGCCACAUUGGGACUGAGAUACGGCCCAGACUCCUACGGGAGGCAGCAGUGGGGAAUAUUGCACAAUGGGCGGAAGCCUGAUGCAGCAACGCCGCGUGCGGGAUGACGGCCUUCGGGUUGUAAACCGCUUUCGCCGGUGACGAAGCGUGAGUGACGGUAAUGGGUAAAGAAGCACCGGCUAACUACGUG